This 506-nucleotide ribosomal RNA is filed under the name uncultured bacterium. RNAcentral's name for it is "partial 16S ribosomal RNA". It matches the Rfam family "Bacterial small subunit ribosomal RNA", at positions 29 to 523 of the family's 1533-position model. The record is from RNAcentral.
AGUGAACGCUGGCGGUAGGCCUAACACAUGCAAGUCGAACGGCAGCACAGGAGAGCUUGCUCUCUGGGUGGCGAGUGGCGGACGGGUGAGGAAUACAUCGGAAUCUACUCUGUCGUGGGGGAUAACGUAGGGAAACUUACGCUAAUACCGCAUACGACCUACGGGUGAAAGCAGGGGACCUUCGGGCCUUGCGCGAUUGAAUGGGCCGAUGUCGGAUUAACUAGUUGGCGGGGUAAAGGCCCACCAAGGCGACGAUCCGUAGCUGGUCUGAGAGGAUGAUCAGCCACACUGGAACUGAGACACGGUCCAGACUCCUACGGGAGGCAGCAGUGGGGAAUAUUGGACAAUGGGCGCAAGCCUGAUCCAGCCAUACCGCGUGGGUGAAGAAGGCCUUCGGGUUGUAAAGCCCUUUUGUUGGGAAAGAAAUCCAGCUGGCUAAUACCCGGUUGGGAUGACGGUACUCAAAGAAUAAGCACCGGCUAACUUCGUGCCAGCCGCCGCAGUAA